Homo sapiens (human) is the source of this 203-nucleotide long non-coding RNA. RefSeq lists it as uncharacterized. The record is from RefSeq and is a predicted model, not a curated record. NCBI's taxonomy places the organism in Eukaryota, Metazoa, Chordata, Mammalia, Primates, Hominidae. The transcript has 3 exons.
CUAAUAUAUUGACUACAACUUCAUAAGAGACCCUGAGCCAGAACUCAAAGUUCUGACCCACGAAAACUAUGAGGCAUUCUUCUAGACAUUGGGGAUACAACAGAGCCUUCAUGACAGUGUCCCCUUGGAGACCCACAUCUCAGCUACCUCGGGCUUUAAACAUUUUACAAACACCCUCCUUCACAGAUGGAAGUGACCUUUCA